This 254-nucleotide ribosomal RNA is filed under the name uncultured bacterium. Its description in RNAcentral is "partial 16S ribosomal RNA". It matches the Rfam family "Bacterial small subunit ribosomal RNA", at positions 524 to 776 of the family's 1533-position model. The record is from RNAcentral.
UACGUAGGGUGCGAGCGUUGUCCGGAAUUAUUGGGCGUAAAGAGCUCGUAGGCGGUUCGGUAAGUCAGCUGUGAAAUCUCCACGCUCAACGUGGAGGGGUCAGCUGAUACUGCCGUGACUUGAGUCUGGUAGGGGAGUGCGGAAUUCCCGGUGUAGCGGUGAAAUGCGCAGAUAUCAAGAGGAACACCUGCGGCGAAGGCGGGUUGCUGGGCCGACACUGACGCUGAGGCGCGAAAGCUAGGGGAGCGAACGGG